RNAcentral lists this non-coding RNA (52 nucleotides) under Plasmodium falciparum 3D7. Lineage: Eukaryota; Apicomplexa; Aconoidasida; Haemosporida; Plasmodiidae. The record is from RNAcentral.
CCCUAUCUACCACUUUUAUAAGUACAUCAUCAAAUGAUUCCUUAGAUAAUAU